Molecule: RNA transcript, 754 nt
Organism: Epinephelus lanceolatus (giant grouper)
Lineage: Eukaryota; Metazoa; Chordata; Actinopteri; Perciformes; Serranidae
Source: RefSeq, a predicted model, not a curated record
GGUGCUUCCGUUUUUCUCUCUCUCUGCCGGAUCGUCUCCGAGGCAGCGGUGUGCUAGCCUCCUGCUGCAGACUAUGCUGAUUUUUGUCUGAGAGAGCCAGAUAUUCCAAGUCUAAGUCACUUUUAUCGUCAGAGCAGAGAGCGGAGCCUUUCCAUUUUUGCCAUGGGUGGAUGAGCGGACCGUGUGUUUUGCAACAGAAGCGGAGGAGAACCGGAAUCCUGGACUGAUGAGAGCCGUGUAUUGUGCCCUGUGCCCGGAGUGUGUGUGUGUGUGUGUGUGUAUGUGAACCGUGAGCCUCUGGCCGGGUCUUUUUCUUUUCCUUUCCCUUGUAUGGAUUCCUGUGUUGAUCUGCGAGACAUCUUCUUCUACUGGGGAUUCUUCCUGUGUCUGUAAAGGUAGAACGGGACCUCAGUGGUCGUGGCGAGCCAACCCAAAAGACAGAGACUGGGAUUUAUUCAGAGACUGAUUUAUUUAAAAAAAAAAAAGACUGAUUUAUUGAGAACUGUGGUUGAUGUCUCAUGUCUGAAGAGCUGAAAAGUUAAAAUUGUUUUUUUUUAUUUUUCUACAACUUCAUUUUCAUUCAAUACAACACACUUAAAAAAAAAACAACUUACCUUUGAUGUGUGUGAGGUUCUUUACUCAGUCACUCAAUGCAUUUUGCUAAAGCACCCUUUCUCCUGUAGCGACCUAAACUUCUGACUACUGGUCCACAAGGUAAUUGAUGCACUGAUGAAAUAAAUAUCUGUAUCUCCCA